Molecule: long non-coding RNA, 279 nt
Filed under: Gossypium raimondii (Peruvian cotton)
Lineage: Eukaryota; Viridiplantae; Streptophyta; Magnoliopsida; Malvales; Malvaceae
Description: long non-coding RNA (GRAI_LNC004227)
Source: RNAcentral
UUGAAGGCAAUGGAAGUAUGUUGGGCAACUUACGAAGUGGUGGUAGUUCUAAGUUCUGGGAUUGAAGGAAAUGGUGGUGGUUCUGGGAUUAAAGGAAGUGGUGACAAUGGAGGUGGCAAUGGUACCGGUAAAUAUGCAAAUGGCAAUGGUACUAGUAAAGAUGGAGGUGGCAAUGGUAUUGGUGGCAAUGGAGGUGGAACUUGCUGAAGAUUUCGGGUUGCUAGGCUAACCUCCAUGCUUGAAAAACCCAAGGAAAUGAAGCAAGCUAAUAAAAGGAAA